RNAcentral lists this long non-coding RNA (597 nucleotides) under Pogona vitticeps (central bearded dragon). RNAcentral's name for it is "lncRNA (ENSPVIG00000004244.1)". Lineage: Eukaryota; Metazoa; Chordata; Lepidosauria; Squamata; Agamidae. The record is from RNAcentral.
AAUUUUAGGGCCCUGGAGCAAAGCUCCAGCGGUCCCACCCUAGCUAAAUCCCUAGCACAGAUUUUAUGAACCCACCAGUCCUCGACGCCACCACCAACCACGGCCAUCAAACAGUGGAGGCUUGGAAUAUCUCCCCCUCACUCUUCAGAACCGACACCAAGACAUUCCUUCUCUUUCAGUGACUGAGGCUUUAGAAUGAGGACUCCCUUGAACAAGAUUCCGGUGCUUGGCAUCUUGUUCCUGAUGCUCUCUUUCCCAACAGAUGGAAAACUUGCUUGCCACUUAUGCCCUCAUGUUGCAAGAGACAGCCGCUGUACAACAUUACAAAGUGCCUGUGAAACCGAUGGAUACUGCUAUGUCGGAAGAUUUUCCGUAGGGGGAAGGACUAUUAGAGUAACCAGAGGCUGCACAAAUGUAUGCAGGAACUUCAUACAUGUGGUGAAGAGCAGCUUAGAACAUAAUUGGUGCUGCGAGCGUGAUUAUUGUAACACCUAUAAUGCUUGGUCCUGGGAAACACUGUUAUGAAUGCCUCGUGGAUUUGGCGUAGCCCUUUCAUGCCUACAACAGUCUGGAAAAAUAAAGAGUUUGAAUCAUGCA